RNAcentral lists this ribosomal RNA (118 nucleotides) under Choloepus hoffmanni (Hoffmann's two-fingered sloth). The record is from RNAcentral. Lineage: Eukaryota; Metazoa; Chordata; Mammalia; Pilosa; Megalonychidae.
UGGUACAGCUAUACUGCCUGAAUGUGCUGGUUCUUUUCUGAUCCUGGAAGCUAAUCAGGUUCAAGCCUGGUUAUUAUCUGGAUAGGAGGCCAUGUGGGAAUACUGGGUGCUGUAGGCU